GACGAACGCUGGCGGCGUGCUUAACACAUGCAAGUCGAACGGAAAGGCCCUGGUUUUGUGGGGGGCUCGAGUGGCGAACGGGUGAGUAACACGUGAGUAACCUGCCCUUGACUUUGGGAUAACUUCAGGAAACGGGGGCUAAUACCGGAUAGGAGCUCCGGCUGCAUUGUGUGGGUUGGAAAGUUUCGGCGGUGGGGGAUGGGCUCGCGGCUUAUCAGCUUGUUGGUGGGGUAGUGGCUUACCAAGGCGUUGACGGGUAGCCGGCCUGAGAGGGUGACCGGCCACAUUGGGACUGAGAUACGGCCCAGACUCCUACGGGAGGCAGCAGUGGGGAAUAUUGCACAAUGGGAGGAAGCCUGAUGCAGCCACGCCGCGUGCGGGAUGACGGCCUUCGGGUUGUAAACCGCUUUCGCCUGUGACGAAGCGUGAGUGACGGUAAUGGGUAAAGAAGCACCGGCUAACUACGUG
Molecule: ribosomal RNA, 468 nt
Filed under: uncultured bacterium
Lineage: Bacteria
Description: partial 16S ribosomal RNA
Rfam family: Bacterial small subunit ribosomal RNA
Source: RNAcentral